Molecule: ribosomal RNA, 460 nt
Filed under: uncultured bacterium
Lineage: Bacteria
Description: partial 16S ribosomal RNA
Rfam family: Bacterial small subunit ribosomal RNA
Source: RNAcentral
CCUACGGGUGGCUGCAGUGAGGAAUAUUGGUCAAUGGACGAAAGUCUGAACCAGCCAUGCCGCGUGCAGGAAGACGGCACUAUGAGUUGUAAACUGCUUUUGUACAAGGGUAAACCUGAAUACGUGUAUUCAGCUGAAAGUACUGUACGAAUAAGGAUCGGCUAACUCCGUGCCAGCAGCCGCGGUAAUACGGCGGAUCCAAGCGUUAUCCGGAUUUCUUGGGUUUAAAGGGUGCGUAGGCGGAUUGAUAAGUUAGAGGUGAAAUGUCCGGGCUCAACUCGGGAACUGCCUCUAAUACUGUUGAGCUAGAGAGUAGAUGCGGUAGGCGGAAUGUAUGGUGUAGCGGUGAAAUGCUUAGAGAUCAUACAGAACACCGAUUGCGAAGGCAGCUUACCAAUCUAUAUCUGACGUUGAGGCACGAAAGCGUGGGGAGCAAACAGGAUUAGAUACCUGGGUAGUC